Molecule: long non-coding RNA, 788 nt
Filed under: Durio zibethinus
Lineage: Eukaryota; Viridiplantae; Streptophyta; Magnoliopsida; Malvales; Malvaceae
Description: long non-coding RNA (DZIB_LNC000487)
Source: RNAcentral
AUGAAUCGAAAGGUGCCUAAAGGGGGAAAUCUUUUAGCAUCUUUUGACAAGCAGCUAAUUAACUAUACAAAGGAAUAAGUGAUUAUAUCUACAAACCACUUUCUUUUUAUUUGCUUUUCACAUCUUUUAUAGCAACAGGACUUGGAUACUUUGUUUUUGAAAUGGUCCAGCUAAGAAACACGCCAUCCAAAGAAAAAACUCUUCUUUAAGUGUGUCGGCAUCGAAAGUAUGGAGCGUGAGGAAAGUUGCUUUGUCCACAGUUCUAUACUUCAAAUCUGUCCAUAGUUUUGUCCACAAUAUGAUUGAAGAAUGAAUAAAAUCUCCUGCUCCAUGCUGGUUUCUUCAAGUAGGGAGAGAGAUUUUUCUAAAUCUCAAUAACAAUGAAAUGCAUAGCAGACAUUUUGACAUUAUGGGAUGAUGGGAUGAUGCUAGCAAAGUGCAUAUGUGACCAUGAGUCUAUGCAGUUGAGCAUUGUAUGGGCAUCAUCAUUCAUCAAUGUCAUUGGCAGGGGUAGAAGCAGAUAAAGAAAAGUACCCAUCAACAAUGGCAUCCAGAGAAAACAAUGAACAUUAAUGACCAAACUGCAUCAGAAAAAUCAAAUUCAUAAACCACCAAAUAGAGAAAAAAAUUACCAUGACAUUGCAACAUAAAAGGGGUACUUAGAAUAUCCCCAUGAAGAAAGCAAUUUAGAAUGGGAGGUUUGUUCUGGAAGCGUGAAGAUAACAAUUAUGCAUUCCCUAGCUUAUUGUCCUUAGGCCUAAUCUCAACACCAUGAACGACAAGGCCAC